This 253-nucleotide ribosomal RNA is filed under the name uncultured bacterium. RNAcentral's name for it is "partial 16S ribosomal RNA". It matches the Rfam family "Bacterial small subunit ribosomal RNA", at positions 524 to 776 of the family's 1533-position model. The record is from RNAcentral.
UACAGAGGGUGCGAGCGUUGUCCGGAAUCACUGGGCGUAAAGGGCGCGUAGGUGGCGGCAUAAGGCCGUGGUGAAAGUCUGGGGCUCAACCCCAGAUCGGCCGCGGCGACUGUGUCGCUAGGGCACCGUAGAGGCAGAUGGAAUUCCGGGUGUAGCGGUGGAAUGCGUAGAGAUCCGGAAGAACACCGGUGGCGAAGGCGGCCUGCUGGGCAGUUGCUGACACUGAGGCGCGACAGCGUGGGGAGCAAACAGG